Molecule: ribosomal RNA, 1499 nt
Filed under: metagenome
Description: bacterial SSU rRNA
Rfam family: Bacterial small subunit ribosomal RNA
Source: RNAcentral
AGAGUUUGAUCAUGGCUCAGGUUGAACGCUGGCGGCAGGCCUAACACAUGCAAGUCGAACGGUAACAGGAAGAAGCUUGCUUCUUUGCUGACGAGUGGCGGACGGGUGAGUAAUGUCUGGGAAACUGCCUGAUGGAGGGGGAUAACUACUGGAAACGGUAGCUAAUACCGCAUAACGUCGCAAGACCAAAGAGGGGGACCUUCGGGCCUCUUGCCAUCGGAUGUGCCCAGAUGGGAUUAGCUAGUAGGUGGGGUAACGGCUCACCUAGGCGACGAUCCCUAGCUGGUCCGAGAGGAUGACCAGCCACACUGGAACUGAGACACGGUCCAGACUCCUACGGGAGGCAGCAGUGGGGAAUAUUGCACAAUGGGCGCAAGCCUGAUGCAGCCAUGCCGCGUGUAUGAAGAAGGCCUUCGGGUUGUAAAGUACUUUCAGCGGGGAGGAAGGGAGUAAAGUUAAUACCUUUGCUCAUUGACGUUACCCGCGGAAGAAGCACCGGCUAACUCCGUGCCAGCAGCCGCGGUAAUACGGAGGGUGCAAGCGUUAAUCGGAAUUACUGGGCGUAAAGCGCACGCAGGCGGUUUGUUAAGUCAGAUGUGAAAUCCCCGGGCUCAACCUGGGAACUGCAUCUGAUACUGGCAAGCUUGAGUCUCGUAGAGGGGGGUAGAAUUCCAGGUGUAGCGGUGAAAUGCGUAGAGAUCUGGAGGAAUACCGGUGGCGAAGGCGGCCCCCUGGACGAAGACUGACGCUCAGGUGCGAAAGCGUGGGAGCAAACAGGAUUAGAUACCCUGGUAGUCCACGCCGUAAACGAUGUCGACUUGGAGGUUGUGCCCUUGAGGCGUGGCUUCCGGAGCUAACGCGUUAAGUCGACCGCCUGGGGAGUACGGCCGCAAGGUUAAAACUCAAAUGAAUUGACGGGGGCCCGCACAAGCGGUGGAGCAUGUGGUUUAAUUCGAUGCAACGCGAAGAACCUUACCUGGUCUUGACAUCCACGGAAGUUUUCAGAGAUGAGAAUGUGCCUUCGGGAACCGUGAGACAGGUGCUGCAUGGCUGUCGUCAGCUCGUGUUGUGAAAUGUUGGGUUAAGUCCCGCAACGAGCGCAACCCUUAUCCUUUGUUGCCAGCGGUCCGGCCGGGAACUCAAAGGAGACUGCCAGUGAUAAACUGGAGGAAGGUGGGGAUGACGUCAAGUCAUCAUGGCCCUUACGACCAGGGCUACACACGUGCUACAAUGGCGCAUACAAAGAGAAGCGACCUCGCGAGAGCAAGCGGACCUCAUAAAGUGCGUCGUAGUCCGGAUUGGAGUCUGCAACUCGACUCCAUGAAGUCGGAAUCGCUAGUAAUCGUGGAUCAGAAUGCCACGGUGAAUACGUUCCCGGGCCUUGUACACACCGCCCGUCACACCAUGGGAGUGGGUUGCAAAAGAAGUAGGUAGCUUAACCUUCGGGAGGGCGCUUACCACUUUGUGAUUCAUGACCGGGGUGAAGUCGUAACAAGGUA